CCCUUAGAUGUUCUGGGCUGCACGCGCGCUACACUGACGCACGCAACAGGUGCCUGCUCCGAGAGGACUGGGUAAUCAUUUGAGUGUGCGUCGUGAUGGGGAUAGAAUAUUGUAAUUAUUACUCUUCAACGAGGAAUUCCUAGUAAGCGCCAGUCAGCAGCUUGCGCUGAUUACGUCCCUGCCCUUUGUACACACCGCCCGUCGCUCCUACCGAUGGGUUAUCCGGUGAAUGAUUCGGACUUCAGCGGCUCCCCUGGGGUGCGCCGGAGAAAGUUUUGUGAACCUUAUCACUUGGAGGAAGGAGAAGUCGUAACA
Molecule: ribosomal RNA, 315 nt
Filed under: uncultured eukaryote
Lineage: Eukaryota
Description: partial 18S ribosomal RNA
Rfam family: Eukaryotic small subunit ribosomal RNA
Source: RNAcentral